Molecule: ribosomal RNA, 480 nt
Filed under: Triticum aestivum (bread wheat)
Lineage: Eukaryota; Viridiplantae; Streptophyta; Magnoliopsida; Poales; Poaceae
Description: partial small subunit ribosomal RNA
Source: RNAcentral
GUGUCCGCUCUUGUUGAUCGGUGGAGGCCAGAGACCCACAGUUUCCAUCUUCGGACCGGGGAGAUGACCGUGACGCUCGAGGAUGUCUCGUUGAUCACCGGUCUUGCUAUCGACGGGAGGCCUCUAUGUGUGAGCACCGAUUCUGAUGGGUGGCGCGAGCAGAUGAUUGCUCUUAUCGGUAUGGCUCCUACCGAGGCUGAGGAUGAUGUAGAGGAGGGAGAAGAGAAGAAGAAGAGGGAAAGGAAGGCAGCUGGAGCUGCUUUCACGUGGAUUCAAAAUAACUUUGCGACGUGCCCUCCGGAUGCAACUGAUGAUGUGAUCCAGACACAUGCUCGUGUGUAUAUGUGGUACAUUGUGUCGAGGACUUUGUUUCCUGACUCCACUGGCAAGAACGCUCCAUGGAUGUGGCUGAAGGCGUUGACCGUCUUCGAUAGCAAAUGGAGCUGGGGUUCAGCGACUCUUGCCUACUUGUACCGAUAG